GGGGAAUUUUCCGCAAUGGGCGAAAGCCUGACGGAGCAAUACCGCGUGAGGGAGGAAGGCUUUUGGGUUGUAAACCUCUUUUCUUAAGGAAGAAGAUCUGACGGUACUUAAGGAAUCAGCAUCGGCUAACUCCGUGCCAGCAGCCGCGGUAAUACGGAGGAUGCAAGCGUUAUCCGGAAUUAUUGGGCGUAAAGCGUCCGCAGGUGGCCUUUCAAGUCUGCUGUCAAAGACCAGAGCUCAACUCUGGGCCGGCGGUGGAAACUGGGAGGCUAGAGUACGGUAGGGGUAGAGGGAAUUCCCAGUGUAGCGGUGAAAUGCGUAGAGAUUGGGAAGAACACCAGUGGCGAAGGCGCUCUACUGGACCGGAACUGACACUCAGGGACGAAAGCUAGGGGAGCGAAAGGGAUUAGAUACCCCUGUAGUC
Molecule: ribosomal RNA, 424 nt
Filed under: uncultured cyanobacterium
Lineage: Bacteria; Bacillati; Cyanobacteriota
Description: bacterial SSU rRNA
Rfam family: Bacterial small subunit ribosomal RNA
Source: RNAcentral